ACUGAGAUUUGUUUAACUGUUAAAGAGGCAUUUUAGUCCGCUGCUGAAUCGCUGGUGUAUUUUGUUGUUAAUUCUCUUGGUUUAGGUCAUACGGAGCCGGGAUCUAGAGCAGCUACCAGCACCUCUUUUGACCCCAAAAAAAGCUGAUGGGGAGCAGCGAGCGGCCAGGAGAGCGAGCGAGUGCACCAGGGCUGGCGUCGGGGUGCGAGGAGGCAGUGACAGCGCGGGGAAGCUGUGCGGGCGAGCUGACAGCAGGGGCAGGAAAUCUGUCCGUGUCCGAGUCCUGCAAGAACUCUGGUCUGCUCCACGCGCUGCGUUCGGAGGUUUUAAGCGCUGUGUGGGACUCUGCAAGAUGGAAAUCCCUGUCGAAUCCCUGUUCCAUUCCGCGAGGCUUUCUGUACACGAAGGAACCGCACGAGGGAAGCUGUCGGUCUGUUUUCUGUUUGCACAAGUCAAAUGCCAUAAACGUGGAAGACAAACCUUCGUUUGGAAACGAAGCACCCGUGUUCCGUGCACAGCUGAUUUUGUUGCUCCAAGGGUAGACGCCGGGAGUUCCUGGUGGCUCUCUAUAUAUGUAUGUAUGUGUACAGAGGAAGCGCUUCUAUAAAGUGGCCAUUCAUUCUCGAGUGCUGGUGUCUUCUCUGCUCCCUUUUCCCCCGCGGCCAGCAGCGUGGCUGUGUGCCCGUGGUCGUGCUCCGUGCGCGGUGACAGCUUCCACCAAGUGUGAUCUGCUCAAAUUCCACCCUUUGGCCUCAGCCCGGUCGGCUGGUGCUGGGCUUUGCUGCUCGGGCUUCUCUUUAGGGAACAAAAUGAAACCCAGCAGCCGCAAGGAGGGCAAGGGGAUAGGUUUGGCUUGUGUGGGCUGGGACGUGGGGGUGGUUUAAACGUGCUCACUACCCUCAUCUCUAGAGGUGAACAGAAUACAGCAUUUUUUUCCCCCUGUACUGGUUUUCACCACGUUGUACUCUACAAAGUGGAUUUCUGAGCUCACAAAGCAAGGUCCCAACCUGCGCUGUAGGUUUUAGAUCGCAGCACCGUGUGUGUGUGUAUAUGCACAUACAUAUAUUUAUACAACAGGUGUGCACCUUGCACUUGCUGCCGUUUUUUCUUUGGUGGUAAAACGUGAAUUUUGGCUCAAAGUGCUUCUGUGAGCUCUCAGACAAGUGCACUGUGCAAGUUUUUUGUGGCCAAAAUUGGGCUUUCUCCUUGCAGCUGCAGGAAAAACAACUCCUGGCUUGAGUGACUGAUGAAACAGCGGCAGGAUCCUGUUGUAUAAAUAAAGAGGUGGUGGGCAAAGCAGGGAGCUGUGCUGCCUGGAAAGGAGAAAACAACCUUUACUCCCGAAAUCUUCCCUCCUUGCUAGAGUGAAUUAAAACUUGAACAGUGUUUUGGCACAGCCUUCUCCAGCUGCUCAAUUUGCAGUGUUUGCAGGUCGGGCUCGUAAGCCGGGGAGCUCUUGCAAGUCACCAAACUGCAGUUAGUUUGUGUAAAGGCAGCUUGUGGCCGGCCUUCGUGGGGGUGCCACCGGGUUGCUGCUGCUCGUGCCGGGUGGAGAGCGCAGCCGAGCCUGCACCCCAGGAGCUGAUGCCUGAUGCAGAGCGUGAGUUUCCGCGGUGGGUUUCCAUGCAGCAGGUGGGGGGGAUCCCACCUCCUGCGCCCACUUUUGUCAUUCUGUCCGUGUCCCACGCGGUCGAUGAACUCUGCCUCUUGCCAAGUCCCAGAGCCUCGCCGUGUCCUCGUUUGGGCGUGCGCCACGUGAGCCCGUUGCUGUCAUCCCUUCCUCUGCUCGUCCCCACCUUCUCCCACCUUUUUUUUUGGGCUGGGCGUGGGUCGUUUGCUUUGCGUUAUCAGCUCAUCCAAGGCGGUUUCUAUUAAUUUUGCAUGUGAGCAGGGCCCUGAGCUAAGGAAUUCAUCACGGGGUUGUGUUGUACUGGCCUCUUUCCGAAGCCUGAGGGAGCUGAGGACGGCAGGAGGAGGGAAUGCGUUCGGCGUUUGCACUGUACUUCACCUCGGGCGGGGCGGGGUGGGGGGAGCCCGUCUUUAAAAAAAAAAAAAAAGUUGUAAAAAAGAAAAAAAAAAAAAAAACCACAAUCGAAGUAUGAAUGCAUUUGAGAAGCAAUUAUAAUAUAGACAUAUAUAUAUUUUGUUAUGUUACUAAAGGACCAUACUUUGAACUGUAUGUAAGUAGAUGUGGCUGUCCGAACCUUGUGGAUUGUAACACUCGAUACUACUGAGCUCCUGUACAUACCCGCAGUUCCAGCAGAAGGAAUUAUUUUAUGUUCUAGCAUGGUAGUUUUGUGUAUCGUACGUCUGAAUAUAAACUAAAAUAAAGACUGCUAAGUUAUCUGAAACCACUGUUGUAAAAUAAAUGUUUUCAAUGCAGAACUACGCGUGGGCUGCUUCUUUCCGUACCCGCGUGCUCCAGUCUGUCACCGAGAGCUGCGGGGAGGUUUCUGUGAUUCCCAAAGUCAGGAGGAGGUAGCACAGCCCCGGUGCGUGGGGCCAUAAAUGUUCCCGAUGCGUGGUUUCGUACAGUUUAACCCUGCGACGUGGUGCCCUUCGAUCGACAUCAGUUCUGCUGUCCCCCAGUGGUGGUGAAGUGCUGGAUUUCCCCUUUCCUACCAGCUCUGCUCGGCUCUCAGCCCGUUUGUGCUGCAGCAGGGCCAACAACCGCCUCGGGUAAGGGUUUGUCCUACCAAAGAUCCAAAGUUGGGGUUUCACCAUCCUAAGGCACUCGUGGUGGGUGGUGCUUUGGGACUCAGACCUCUCCUGCUGCUGGGGGAUGUGUGAGAACCUCGCUGCCCACCCCCCGGUGGGGCUGGGGUCACAACAAAACCAACUCGGAGCUGCUGCAGUGAAGCACACGUUGCUCCUCAGAGCACCUCCCGGCACAGCGCGCAGUCUGCGCACUCCUAGAACUGCACUUUUAGCUUGAUUUGUCCUCAUUUCACGCAGCUCCCCCCUGUCCCCGUGCUCAGCCCCAACCCACCGUUGU
This 2995-nucleotide long non-coding RNA is filed under the name Anas zonorhyncha (Eastern spot-billed duck). Its description in RNAcentral is "lncRNA (ENSAZOG00000015992.1)". Lineage: Eukaryota; Metazoa; Chordata; Aves; Anseriformes; Anatidae. The record is from RNAcentral.